RNAcentral lists this ribosomal RNA (491 nucleotides) under uncultured bacterium. Its description in RNAcentral is "partial 16S ribosomal RNA". It matches the Rfam family "Bacterial small subunit ribosomal RNA", at positions 29 to 507 of the family's 1533-position model. The record is from RNAcentral.
AUGAACGCUAGCUACAGGCUUAACACAUGCAAGUCGAGGGGAAACGGCAUCGACAGCUUGCUUUUGAUGGGCGUCGACCGGCGCACGGGUGAGUAACGCGUAUCCAACCUGCCCAUCACUUGGGAAUAACCUUGCGAAAGUAAGACUAAUGCCCAAUGACAUCCCACGAAGGCAUCCGAAUGGGAUUAAAGAUUUAUCGGUGAUGGAUGGGGAUGCGUCUGAUUAGCUUGUUGGCGGGGUGACGGCCCACCAAGGCAACGAUCAGUAGGGGUUCUGAGAGGAAGGUCCCCCACAUUGGAACUGAGACACGGUCCAAACUCCUACGGGAGGCAGCAGUGAGGAAUAUUGGUCAAUGGGCGAGAGCCUGAACCAGCCAAGUAGCGUGCAGGAUGACGGCCCUAUGGGUUGUAAACUGCUUUUAGAAGGGAAUAAAGUGGGUCACGUGUGACUUUUUGCAUGUACCUUAUGAAUAAGGACCGGCUAAUUCCGUG